This 609-nucleotide ribosomal RNA is filed under the name Salmonella enterica subsp. enterica serovar Ouagadougou. Its description in RNAcentral is "partial 23S ribosomal RNA". It matches the Rfam family "Bacterial large subunit ribosomal RNA", at positions 140 to 688 of the family's 2925-position model. Lineage: Bacteria; Pseudomonadati; Pseudomonadota; Gammaproteobacteria; Enterobacterales; Enterobacteriaceae. The record is from RNAcentral.
UCGUCACACUAUCAUUAACUGAAUCCAUAGGUUAAUGAGGCGAACCGGGGGAACUGAAACAUCUAAGUACCCCGAGGAAAAGAAAUCAACCGAGAUUCCCCCAGUAGCGGCGAGCGAACGGGGAGGAGCCCAGAGCCUGAAUCAGCAUGUGUGUUAGUGGAAGCGUCUGGAAAGGCGCGCGAUACAGGGUGACAGCCCCGUACACAAAAGCGCAUGUGCUGUGAGCUCGAUGAGUAGGGCGGGACACGUGGUAUCCUGUCUGAAUAUGGGGGGACCAUCCUCCAAGGCUAAAUACUCCUGACUGACCGAUAGUGAACCAGUACCGUGAGGGAAAGGCGAAAAGAACCCCGGCGAGGGGAGUGAAAAAGAACCUGAAACCGUGUACGUACAAGCAGUGGGAGCCCCACCACCAAAGCAUUCUCUGGUGUUGAAGGCCCUGCAAAGCAGCAUCGCGGUGGCGGAGCGUCGUUUGCGACGCCCAACACACAAAACAAGCGGUGAGUGCUUUGGGGUGGGGUGACUGCGUACCUUUUGUAUAAUGGGUCAGCGACUUAUAUUCUGUAGCAAGGUUAACCGAAUAGGGGAGCCGUAGGGAAACCGAGUCUUAAC